AUUCGCAACACUAUCCUGCGAGCAGUCUCUAUAUUCUGUGUGUUCAUGACUUCUACCUUCUGCCAGUCGAAUUUUCCCCGCUGGCUGCUAGCUGUAUUUUUUUCAGUUCAACGGUAUUUGUCAUCGACGAGUGAAGGAGUUCGAUGUAUUGCUUUCAUUGAUUCGCGUGUCUAAAAGCCUUUUUCUUCUUCUUUCUUAUCCUGCAAGGGCUAAUCAUUGCUGUGCAUAUAUGAUUACGCGAUGGACGGGUCGACGAGAUGAUUCAGUGAUGACGAGAAGAACGUUUUAAGUGCUAGAAAAGAAGCAGCUUUAAACUGGGUGAUAUAUAUUUACUGCGACGAGAUCCUAACCUUAUUCGACGAUAAAAUGAAGUCGGGCAAUACAGACAAACACAGAGGCACGAUACUCUUAAAACCGGAAGAAAAUGAACAGAUUUUUCAGCUGAUAGGCAAUCGAUGCCAGUGUUUAGCUGCUGGUGUUAUACAACUAUAUUUGACAGAACCUCCUUUACAUAGAGAUUGGAUUAAAAAAAGUACAGGUAUUAUAACUCUAAUAAGAGACAAUCCGAGACGUAGUUUCUUUUUACGAUUGUAUUGCUUGCAAAGAAAAGUAAUGUUGUGGGAACACGAAGUUUAUAAUUCAAUGGAAUACAAAGCACCAAUAUCAUAUUUUCAUACAUUUGAAGCAGAAGAUUGUAUGGCUGCAUUUAAUUUUGCAAGUGAAACUGAAGCUAUUACAUUAAGGAACAUACUUCUUGGUAAAUUAAAUGCUAAACGUCAGAGAAGACAAGAAAGAAAAGCAAAAGAAGUAGAGCCUAGUGGUACUAUAUCCUGGAAAAAUCAAACUAGUGUAUCAGCAUUUACAGUUACAUCAGGUUCACCGAGUAAUUUAUCGAAUGGUGCACCUGUUGGUGUUAAUAGAAGUGCGUCAAGUAGUUCAAUGUAUAAAACAAAGAAGAAAAAAAAUGAACAAGACCUUAAACGCAAGUUAACAAAGGAUGAUAUUGGUCUUCCUUCUAAUUUCAGGCAUGUGGCACACUUGGGGUGGGAUGUAAAUAAUAAAGGUCUGGAAUUAGAUUCUGUAGAUUCACAAUUACAACAAUUUUUCAAUAAUGCUGGUGUAUCGGAACAUGAACUCCAAGAUAAAGGCACUCGAAAAUUUAUCUAUGAUUUUAUUGAAAGGAAUGGAGGUAUGAGCGCAGUGCAAGAAGAUAUUCGGCCAUUGGCUAAUGAAAAAAGUACUAUUCAGCCUCCUGCGUUGCCGCAAAGGCAGGAGUAUCCUCCACCUGUUCCAGCGCGAACUAUACCUCAUCAAACACGGAGUGCUCCGCCUUUACCUCCAAAUCGUCUUAGCGUAUCUUCUCCAUCACAAAGUGUGCCAUCUAGCUUAUCUCUGAAUACAUCUUCGAACACUUUGUCUAAUGUCCCAUCAAUACACAGAACUUUACCAUCGAGACCACCACCACCCAAUAUAACUGUAGCACCGACUCUUCCUCCACCUCCUCCUCCACCUCCACCUACUCCUCCUUCUAGAUCCAAUUCGAAUAUUUCCAUACCACCUCCACCACCACCUUUACCGGAUAUGAAUAACACCAACAACAUAACAAUUAACACAAACGCUACUAAUAACAACAAUGAAGAGUCGAUCACUGAUCUUAGACCAAUGCUUAUGGAAUCUAUUAGAAGUGGUACAACUUUAAAGAAAGUUAAUAAGAUGGAAACAAAAUCAGCAUUGAUUGAGGAUUCAAGAGGGGAGCUGCUUCGACAAAUACGAGAGGGUAUUGAAUUGAAACCUGUUCCAAAUGAAGUAAAAUUAAAUACAGGACCUGCACCUCGUGGUGGUUGCCUGGCUGAUGCGUUAUCCAGGGCUCUAGCUGAACGAUCUCGUGCAAUUCAUAGUGAAAGUGAAGAAUCAACUAGUGAUACCACUGAUGAUGAUGAAUGGGAUGACUAGAUUAUAGAAGAAAGUAAAUCAGAUAAAAAUAUUUAAAAGAAGCAAUUCUUAUAUAGAUACAAGAUUAAAAAGAAUAAAGGCUCUACAGCCUAAAACAGAUAUUGAAUAUGGAAACUCAACUGCAAGAGAAGUCAUCAGAAGAAUAAUGCAAGGCAUAAAAUAUAGUUUUGCCACUAUGGAGAAAUCCUAGUCAGAAAAAAAUAAUAUAACAUAUUAAUUAUUAUUAUAUUUUAUUAUAUUUUAUACAAUUUCAUCUUCAAACUAUAUUAUACAAACUGGAUCCAUAUGUUUCCUUUCAUAUUUACAUUGUUUGACUAGUAUAUAUAUUUAGUAUGUAUAUCAUUUAUAAAUUUAAAAUUCUAAUAGUAUUAUCAUUAUUACUAUAUUCAGAUAAAUAGCAAAAAUUUAUACUUAUUUGUAACAAUAAUAUAAAACAGCAAGAUAUUCAAGCUCAUGUUUGUUGAUAAAUAAAUAUAAUGAGAAUAUAAAAUUGCAAAAGAAUUUCAAUUUGCACAUGCUUGGAUAAAGAAUGCAAAUAAUAAAGCAUUUAAAGAUGUAGCAAACAUAUUAUUUUUAUGGCCAAUAAUAAUUUUUUAUUACAAUGCGAUAUGUAAUAGUUAUGGACAAUCUUUAUUUUA
Molecule: RNA transcript, 2591 nt
Organism: Cataglyphis hispanica
Lineage: Eukaryota; Metazoa; Arthropoda; Insecta; Hymenoptera; Formicidae
Gene name: actin nucleation-promoting factor WASL-like
Exons: 8
Source: RefSeq, a predicted model, not a curated record